GGAAGGAAAAAACAACUGCCUCACCAGCUCCUCCUCAUCUUGUAUUUGGACCAAUAAGUUUCACACCUGAGCGUUAGCCUGGCAUAGAAAGAAAUGUGACUGCAGUGAUGAAUCCAUGGUGGCUGCUACUCCUUUCCUCGUAGUUUCCCAGAUGCUCACAAACAACAUUUUAUCUGCUCCGGACUGAAGGAACUGAAGAUGACUGGUCAUUAACUUGUUAUUUCAAGGAGCCAAAUCCAUCAUAUCCUGCUCUCCAUUGAUGGCAUGAAAGCUGCUUGCCUUGUGUUAACCCACUGGAAAAGCUGGAGGAUGAGAUGCAACAGCUGGAAGAGCGCAGCUGGCUGAAUCACCAGCUCCAAAUGGCCACACAGAUGUGGAUUUACAUGAGGCUCUGGUUCACAGAGUGAAUACUGACAGUGAAGUGCUGUGUGCAGCCACCAAGGCACUGAGAAAAUUCAGCUGCAUGGAGGCACUGGGAGGAAUAAGGCUGGAAAAUUGACUGCACGUAAGAGGCAGAACUACCCACUCCAGAGUGUGUGACUGAGUGUUACAGGAAGGUAAGCAUAUUCCAAGCCAAGGAUCUUGGCUGUUCUGACUUGUGCCUAAAUUUACCUAAUGAUAAAUGAAGAACUGUAGGGGAAGGCUGGGAUAUUUGACAUACCAUCAAACUCAUAUAAAUGAGGCAGCAACCACUCAGAAUGAACAGCAGCAACAUCAUCCAUUCCGGAGAUCUGCAAAGCUGAGUUGUUGACAGCAACUUGUGAGAGCCCCACACGUACCUGCUCCUGUCGCCAAGCACAUCACAUGCCUUGGAUCUCCUGACAAGGUUAAUCCGCAGCCAAAGAACCUUCUCAGGGAUGAGAGUCGGAAAGACAGAUGGGAUUAAAAACUUUUAACAAAGCAGAAACAUUCACACAAACUGUACUGUCUCAGACACCUCUGAGCAGUUCUCAGCAGGGAGCUGCCACUCUAUUCCAGGUUUCUGUCAGCAACACAUUGCACUUCUCUAUUUUCCCUCAGCUUAUUGAUUUAUAUACAGUGAAAAAACAUAUCUAGGAAUACAGGAAAUAUAUCAUAAAUGCAUAUAGUGGGUAGUAUUGUGCCAGCGGUUACCCCACCACCCAGGAUUUGAGAGAAGCUUUUAGCUGGCAGGGAUCUGCAGGAGGGUUAAUGGACUUCACUGGGAUGAACUCAUUAAUAACGCACUGUUCUACAUCCCAGCUGAGAGCAGCACCCACCUGGCUGUGCAACACCCUCCUGCCAAUUCACACCAGGAAUGCAUCUGCCUCUACUUAAUAAUCCCUUUAGGGAUGCAGGUACUAUUUCAGCAGAAAUGGCCAUUACAGAGAAACCACCGACUCACAAAAGACUCUAUUUACCAUUACCAGAGUGGAGAGAGCAGAACACGUUUGCACGGUAAGGAAUUCCACUGUGUACUCUUAUCAGGGGGCACUGCAAUAACAAUGACAUGGAAAACACCUAUUCUAUAUAUGGAAUGGCUGAGUACCCAGUUCUCUCUGUGCAAACCUACCUUGCCAUUAAAUAGAAAGGGUGUAUUUGGCGAGGUGUGCAGGUGUAACGUGUAAAUCCUUAACUGUAAGAAAUUAAUCGAGUCAUACAAUAAAUGUGUACCCCCUGUAACAGAUACAAAAGACAAAGCUGUGGGAAACUUGCACCACGUCUUACUCCAGCUCUCUCAUCAUUUGCUUGACUACACCUAGCAUCACCAAUGCUGCUCGCAGACAUCAUGGCUCCUCAAGCCUGCACAGGAGGCAGCACACAGCGAAACACUCAGCAGUCACACACCAGAGACCUAAAGCAGAAAAAACACCAUUAACCAUCCCGUGCACAAGGGACGUGUUGCUGCUCCUCCCCUACAAACCAAACCCCAUCUUUAAGUGCGUUGUUUAAUGAGAUGAAGGCUGCAGCAACCCAAGGACUGAAUUUUGCUGGGUGCCCCAUCACCAGCUUUUACUGCCUUGCAGCAAAUGCUCUCAAGCACCUCCCUGACCCCCUGCAGGUUUUUAGUGAAGUCACACAAACUUCCUACGCUUCCAACUUUGGCUAAAGAAAAGCAGGCACAAGGCUGGAGGUGUAGCAGCCUGCUAAGCACCCUGCUGCUGCAGACAGACCUGCUGGCAUGCUAGGAACAGUGCAGCAUGGCACAGAAGAGCAAAGGGUGAAAGAUAGCACUGAGCUUAAAUGAGCCGUGCCAUCCAGUCUGUAUCACACAGCUGCAUUCUUGGCUCCGAGUACAAAACAGCUCUGGUACAGAUGAGUUCAGAGCUGGGAAUAAGAUGGCAGCUCUGUUUUGAGAACGGUAAUGUAAAUAGUUGAACACCUGGGCUAGUUUUGAAAUCUCUCUCCUGUACUGAAGCACACCAGAGCUGUUAAGAUGCGAUAAACCCUUUCACUUGAGCGCCCUGAGGCUCGUGUGUGCAAGAGCAAGGUUCAGAACAGACCUGGGUUGUGCAACACAGCAGGUAAAGCAACCUACCCCAGCCUGUCCUUUUUGUAGCUUCUGCAAGAGCAGGUCACGCUGCCCUUUCAUGAAAUAGCAUAACCAAGUGCUGUAGGAGUUGGCAGGGAGAUGUUGGAGAUGGUCCAGAGGAGGGCCAUAAUGAUUAGAGGGCUGAAGCACCUCCCCUACAAAGGCAGGCUGAGGGAGCUGGGCUUGUUCAGCCUGAAGAAAGCUGUGGGGUGACCACAUUGCAGCCUUUCAGUAUCUAAAGGGGAGCCUAUAAACAGGGGAGUUGAGUCUUAAGGUAGAUAACAGCACAAGGGGAAAUGGUUUUAAGUCGAAGGAGGGAGGGCUUAGGUUUGACGUCAGGGUUAAGUUCUUUACUACGGGAGUGUUGAGGUGCUGGAACAGCUGCCCACAGACAUUGUGGAUGCCCUGCCCCUGGAGGUGUUCAAGGUCAGGUUGGAUGGGGCCCUGGACAGCCUGGUCUAGUAUUAAACAUGGAGACUGGUGGCCCUGCAUGCAGCAUGUGGGUUUGGUGCUUAAUGAUCCUUGAGGUUCCUUCCAACCCGAGACAUUCUACAACUCUGUGAUAUGAAAUAUACCCUGUCAAAGGGAGGAGCAGCAAACUCAGGGCAUUCCAGCACAGGAGAUGCUUCCAAGUGACACCUCCUGGCAGCUGGGUGCCUCUUCAUGAUGCACUGUUACUCACCCAAAAGGAAAUUGCUUACAUGCAUUAAGGAAUGCUCUGACUGCAUUGCUGCUAACGUGCUCACACUGCAAAUGUCUGGGUGAAUGGCACCAGAACUGAUGUGUAACUUUGCGCCACUGCAUCUGAAUAGCCAGAGAAAGUGAGCAGUUACACAUAACCAGUGUUAGCAGCCUCCUUGCAGGACUUCCUUUCAACACCAAUUCCAGCAAUGUCUUGCCUAUGUUACACAUCCACUUUUUCUGUGAGCCACACAAGGGACAAAGAACAGCAUUGCAAGUUUGCAGUAACGGAAGGGUCACACUGCCUUAAUCACACCUUCCAGUUCUGUUCUCCAGUUGUUUUCAGUGGAGCUUUGGAUUUCAGUAGUUUGUGAUUGAUGAAGGAAAACACCCCCACCUGCCCCCUUUACCCCUCAUUUUUCAUAAGCAUGAAGAACUGCCACCAUGCUAAAGGAUCUGUCAGCUCACGGACUGUGUGCGGGCUCCCUAGUGAGAUGUGGUACAAACUCAGGCUCAGAUCAGGCCUAUUGUCAAUAGCGUGGGGCCUGCAGCCAGUGAAGCUCGAGGGCCAAGCAAUACUAUUAGUUUUUAAAUCACAAAACAUGGCCUCAUUUGAUCAAGAUUAUAGCUCUGUGGGUAGUUCUGGCCUGCAUGGCUCUAUGUAUGGUCUCAAGAAUCCCUAUUCAGCUGAGCAGAUGCUCAUCUAUUCCCUCCGUUCAGGUUUCUGCCACUGCUUGCUGGGAGUUUCCCCACAGCUGCCAUCUGCUGGACUCAGCCUGCACUUCUACCAAGGCCCAUCACUGUGUCCUGAUGAACAAGUAUGAAGCUCACUGGACCCUCCCAUCCAGUGUCAAAACCAGAAGUAUCUUCCUGUUUCACCACUGCCAAUGAGGCCUCACUUAAACUCAUGGAUGUUCUGAGAGAACCUGAGGUUUCCUCUUGAUUAAAACUAAUUCCUGUGAGGCCACGACUUGCAGCAGCCUGUGCACCCCCCACCCCGUGUUGUGUAACCGCUACUGAACUUCAGAACAGGUCCACGACACCUGAAGAGGAUCUUCUUGUGCUGAAAAACAGAACAUAAGAAGGUUAGCACAGGAAUCCUGAGGUCUUCCAGAAAUGUAACAACUGCUUCCUCACAGCUUCAUUCACAAACACUGAGAUACAUAACCUUCCCAUUCUCACCCGUGUCCUCCCCAAGUUCUCGCACCACACAGAUACUUACCUACACCCAGCUGAAUCCACACCCUUACCUUGAAGCUGUUACCAACUCCACAAAGCAUUUCUGUCCAUCAUUACAGAAGGAAACCAUCUCAGCAGCUUCUCCAGCGUCAAGAUCAGAGCGCUCAUUUUAAUGUGCCUUUACCUGCUUUUCUCACAGGCUCUACAGGCAGCUGCCCCUGUGACACUACAGCUCUCCCCAUUCAUCCAAAGGGACUGCAGACAACAAAGUGGAAUAUUAGAACUUAUUUGUGUGCCAAGAGAAAUAAAAACGGUGUGUGUCACCUUUACAAGCCAUUAUGAAAACCUUCCCACCCAGCUGAUUCGUGUGCUGGUGAUUACACAGGGCCAACAACUACACACGUGUGUAGUGAGACAAGGCCAACAUCUGAGCAGCUCUCCGAAAUGUGCUGACAUGGAUGGUGACUCCACAUGAACAGAACACCUUAAAACUUACCCUGGAGUGUUUUUACACUCUACAUUGUAGAUAAAUGCUUUUCUCACGCAGAUUGCAGGCACCUUUCCAGUAUUUUAUCCAGUGAAGGCUGAAUUUACAGCAACAAAAUCUUUUGGGUUUUAAUUAGGAGCAUGAAUUUACCGUGAUGAAAGCAAGGAAAGCAUACAAACACGUACUAACUGCUGCUCUGCAGCAGGCAACACAUCACACAUCCCUACUUAUCCUUCUUCCCUGCACCACCUUCCAUGACUUCAGCUGCUUUUCCUCACUCUCAGGGCACACAGUGGUUGCUUACCUGAAUGCACCCAAACCAAAUUCAUUUUUGCAACAAGAAAAACUCAUGGUUUCUACAUCAAGGGAUGGCGGCACAGCAAAGUACAGGCACAUAUGACAGCUUAGCGGGCUCAGGAUCAUACAAAUACCUGAAGCAGCUUUCACGAACUGCAUUAAACCAGAGGAUACCUGUGUAUUUAGAGUACAGCAAAGGCAGGCCUUCAGUUUUUAGUUUUUCAGAUGAAUGCUCAGAUGGUGCUUAUUUCUGCAGUAUGGCCAUAAGCUUCUUGUGGAUCUUGCAAGGUGGGGGAAGGAAGAGAAGGAACCAUCGCAGGUGAUAGCACUGAUACUUUACACAUAAAAGCAAGGCACGUAGUUACUAUGUCAGCAGAUUCAUCCUGGACAACUUCAUAUCCACGUCCGUAGAAAAGACACACACCCUAUCACACUACUUACCGUCAUUUCCUGGUUAUCAGCUGCACAAACAUAAGCAUAAGCUUUGCCUUCAAGUUUGAGGACAGCAACUGUUCUGAUGUAUAAUACUGUCUGAUUCUUUUUUUUUCCCCUUCAGCAAAGCUAAAAGCAUCCACAUAGAGAAAUAAAACAAAGAGAGCAACACUUUUAAUUCGGAGUUCUUCAGAUGUAUGAAACUAAACUGGAAAUUAUACCAGCAACAGAGCAUUAUAUUCUCCUCUUCUGUGAUGAAUGCAGUACAACUGGAUAAGGUGGAGCGAGCAGAAGCUACAUGAGGUGCAUGUGCUGUCCUAAGAUGCCUGGCCUUUUGUGGGAAGAUAGAGAAGGCAAAAAGUUGGCUCAGACUCUUUGACAAGAGGGAUGAGGGUUUAAAGAAGACAGAAGAAUGGCAAGUAUUGCAACAAUACCAAUGUGUGUUUCAAAAUGCCAAGGUAUAGGUUGUGUGAAGUGAAUUAACAUCUGAUAGUCCUUCACCAUCUGAAUGCACUGGAUGACAGACCACCAUACAUGUGUAGUUACCGUGAGGUGUUAUCCUGAGAAAUUCACUGCACUUACCUCCAGGAGGAGCCAAAAUACUUCAGAACAGAAAAACCUGUAAAUCCUUUUUCCUGACCUAUACCACUAUUGGACUUUGGCCCACACAUCCAGGAAGCCUAUCAGACUCCUCCCAAGGGAAUAUCUUCUUGAAGGAAUAAAACACUUUAUUUCACAGGAA
Molecule: non-coding RNA, 6309 nt
Organism: Coturnix japonica (Japanese quail)
Lineage: Eukaryota; Metazoa; Chordata; Aves; Galliformes; Phasianidae
Source: RefSeq, a predicted model, not a curated record